Molecule: ribosomal RNA, 438 nt
Filed under: Hepatozoon fitzsimonsi
Lineage: Eukaryota; Apicomplexa; Hepatozoidae
Description: SSU rRNA
Rfam family: Eukaryotic small subunit ribosomal RNA
Source: RNAcentral
CCUCCUGGGGCGCGUUUUGUAUUGGAUGAUAGAAAUUUAAACACUUUUUAAAGUAUCAAUUGGAGGGCAAGUCUGGUGCCAGCAGCCGCGGUAAUUCCAGCUCCAAUAGCGUAUAUUAAAAUUGUUGCAGUUAAAAAGCUCGUAGUUGAAUUUUUGCUGGAAAUAACCGGUCUGCUUUUAUUAAUAAGAGUGGUAUCUUGGUGUGUUUUUAGCAAUAAUGUCCUUUGAAAUGUUUUUUACUUUAUUGUAAGAAGCAAUAUUCAGGAUUUUUACUUUGAGAAAAUUAGAGUGUUUCAAGCAAGCUAACGUUUUGAAUACUGCAGCAUGGAAUAAUAAAAUAGGAUUUUGGUUCUACAUUAUUGGUUUUAAGAACUAAAUUAAUGAUUGAUAGGGACAGUUGGGGGCAUUUGUAUUUAACUGUCAUAGGUGAAAUUCUUA